ACGAACGCCGGCGGCGUGCUUAACACAUGCCAGUCGAACGGAAAGGCCCUGCUUUUGUGGGGUGCUCGAGUGGCGAACGGGUGAGUAACACGUGAGUAACCUGCCCUUGACUUUGGGAUAACUUCAGGAAACUGGGGCUAAUACCGGAUAGGAGCUCCUGCUGCAUGGUGGGGGUUGGAAAGUUUCGGCGGUUGGGGAUGGACUCGCGGCUUAUCAGCUUGUUGGUGGGGUAGUGGCUUACCAAGGCUUUGACGGGUAGCCGGCCUGAGAGGGUGACCGGCCACAUUGGGACUGAGAUACGGCCCAGACUCCUACGGGAGGCAGCAGUGGGGAAUAUUGCACAAUGGGCGGAAGCCUGAUGCAGCAACGCCGCGUGCGGGAUGACGGCCUUCGGGUUGUAAACCGCUUUCGCCUGUGACGAAGCGUGAGUGACGGUAAUGGGUAAAGAAGCACCGGCUAACUACGUG
This 467-nucleotide ribosomal RNA is filed under the name uncultured bacterium. Its description in RNAcentral is "partial 16S ribosomal RNA". It matches the Rfam family "Bacterial small subunit ribosomal RNA", at positions 29 to 507 of the family's 1533-position model. The record is from RNAcentral.